This 253-nucleotide ribosomal RNA is filed under the name uncultured bacterium. RNAcentral describes it as "partial 16S ribosomal RNA". It matches the Rfam family "Bacterial small subunit ribosomal RNA", at positions 524 to 776 of the family's 1533-position model. The record is from RNAcentral.
UACGGAGGAUCCGAGCGUUAUCCGGAUUUAUUGGGUUUAAAGGGUGCGUAGGCGGUUUGAUAAGUUAGAGGUGAAAUGUCGGGGCUCAACCCAGAAACUGCCUCUAAUACUGUUGGACUAGAGAAUAGUUGCGGUAGGCGGAAUGUAUGGUGUAGCGGUGAAAUGCUUAGAGAUCAUACAGAACACCGAUUGCGAAGGCAGCUUACCAAACUAUAUCUGACGUUGAGGCACGAAAGCGUGGGUAGCAAACAGG